UCGCAGCUCCCUUAAAGCCGCAGCCACGGCGGACGCUUAGGGUGCCAGGCAGCAGCUACGACACAGGGCACUAGACACUCUCCGCACGCUGCCCCCCGCCCCUCUCGCUCGACUGCCCCAAACUUGCUCGCGCCCACCUGACUCUCCUGCUGCCAACCUCAGGCUAUCAGGAAAGAGGUGAAAAGUGUGGUGACGCGGAAGAAGUCGGUUUUUCCGAGAUCCAGUCAAGGUGUUGUCCCUCAUACCCUCCACCUGCAGCGCCAGUAACUGAGCUUCGGGAUUCCAGACCCGGAACCAAGGAAAACUCGAAUUCGCCGCCGCUCCAGACAAGAAGUGGUCCUGUGCUACCCUAAGGGAGAACAGCUCCAGGAUAAGGUUCAUGGCUCCCUCAUCUGAAGAGAAAGUGACGUUUUGCUUGGAAUCACCCCAUAAGUGAUACCCCUGAGAGACUCCAUCAAAAAUGGGGAUGCAGGGUUUUCCAGUUGUUUGGAAUACUCUGUGCCAAUGCUUGUUAAUAAAGAGCCCUAUCACCUUAAAAAAA
Neogale vison (American mink) is the source of this 541-nucleotide long non-coding RNA. RefSeq lists it as uncharacterized. The record is from RefSeq and is a predicted model, not a curated record. Lineage: Eukaryota; Metazoa; Chordata; Mammalia; Carnivora; Mustelidae. The transcript has 3 exons.